This 77-nucleotide transfer RNA is filed under the name Cytophagales bacterium. RNAcentral describes it as "tRNA-Arg". It matches the Rfam family "tRNA". From Rfam's summary of the family: Transfer RNA (tRNA) molecules are approximately 80 nucleotides in length. Their secondary structure includes four short double-helical elements and three loops (D, anti-codon, and T loops). Further hydrogen bonds mediate the characteristic L-shaped molecular structure. tRNAs have two regions of fundamental functional importance: the anti-codon, which is responsible for specific mRNA codon recognition, and the 3' end, to which the tRNAs corresponding amino acid is attached (by aminoacyl-tRNA synthetases). tRNAs cope with the degeneracy of the genetic code in two manners: having more than one tRNA (with a specific anti-codon) for a particular amino acid; and 'wobble' base-pairing, i.e. permitting non-standard base-pairing at the 3rd anti-codon position. Lineage: Bacteria; Pseudomonadati; Bacteroidota; Cytophagia; Cytophagales. The record is from RNAcentral.
GGCUCCGUAGCUCAACUGGAUAGAGCGUCUGGCUUCGGACCAGAAGGUUUGGGGUUCGAAUCCCUACGGGGUCACCA